Molecule: ribosomal RNA, 520 nt
Filed under: Macrophomina phaseolina
Lineage: Eukaryota; Fungi; Ascomycota; Dothideomycetes; Botryosphaeriales; Botryosphaeriaceae
Description: eukaryotic LSU rRNA
Rfam family: 5.8S ribosomal RNA (bases 159-312)
Source: RNAcentral
GAUCCUCCCACCCUUUGUAUACCUACCUCUGUUGCUUUGGCGGGCCGCGGUCUUCCGCGGCCGCCCCCCGAUUUUGGGGGGUGGCUAGUGCCCGCCAGAGGACUAUCAAACUCCAGUCAGUAAACGUUGCAGUCUGAAAAAAAUAUUAAAUAAACUAAAACUUUCAACAACGGAUCUCUUGGUUCUGGCAUCGAUGAAGAACGCAGCGAAAUGCGAUAAGUAAUGUGAAUUGCAGAAUUCAGUGAAUCAUCGAAUCUUUGAACGCACAUUGCGCCCCUUGGUAUUCCGGGGGGCAUGCCUGUUCGAGCGUCAUUUCAACCCUCAAGCUCUGCUUGGUAUUGGGCACCGUCCUUUGCGGGCGCGCCUCAAAGACCUCGGCGGUGGCGUCUUGCCUCAAGCGUAGUAGAAUACACCUCGCUUCGGAGCGUAAGGCGUCGCCCGCCGGACGAACCUUCUGAACUUUUCUCAAGGUGACCUCGGAUCAGGUAGGGAUACCCGCUGAACUUAAGCAUAUCAAUAA